UUGGGGUAAAAUAGUGAAAAGCCGACAUGGGGAAGUGAUCGACCCUUGAGUUAAGUUUAAAUUUAUUUUUUUGUACUCCAUAAACUUUUUACCGUGGGUAAAAAGAUUCUUCUUGGGGUGUAAAAAAAAUCAAAUUUAAAUUUAGCCCAAGAGUUGAUGAUGUAUUUUCCCAUGAAGGCUGCUCACUAUUUUACCCCAA
This 199-nucleotide microRNA precursor is filed under the name Medicago truncatula (barrel medic). RNAcentral describes it as "MIR2670 microRNA precursor family". It matches the Rfam family "MIR2670 microRNA precursor family". The record is from Rfam by way of RNAcentral. Lineage: Eukaryota; Viridiplantae; Streptophyta; Magnoliopsida; Fabales; Fabaceae.